Long non-coding RNA from Girardinichthys multiradiatus, 3037 nucleotides. RefSeq lists it as uncharacterized. NCBI's taxonomy places the organism in Eukaryota, Metazoa, Chordata, Actinopteri, Cyprinodontiformes, Goodeidae. The transcript is spliced from 2 exons. The record is from RefSeq and is a predicted model, not a curated record.
CUUAAACAUGCUGAUUGGCCUCAGCAAUAGCCUUUAAACAUGCACAACCCACCUCUUCAGCCGUACACGCUGAGAGAAUGGAGACCAUCAAUGAUUCCAACAGGUGCUGCAGAUUGCCAGAAUACUAAGGGUCUUCACCAACGCAUUGAUGGCCAAAUUUAAAAUGAAGCGGAAGGAGGAACAAGGCAAGAUAUCUUUGGAGAAAAAACAAAAGUUUACAGAACAAUAAAAGUUAAGCUGAUGUCCUCACAAGUAUUGGUAAAGCAAACAAAGAGUUUUCAUAAAGUGGACAUUAUAUUGAGACAAUUGUAAAAAUGAAAAAAUCCAAAGCCAAUAGUCAGUUAAACAUUUGCAAAGAUGGGUUUUGUAGUAAUCCAGUCUCACUAGGGGAGGCCACAGCAACCACAUUUUUUUCCCAGUAAAGUUGGUUGUAUUUUCAAAACACAGGCUAUGUAAUUUUAUAUAUUUUUUUGCGUUUACCACCAGUGUUAAUCUACCUGUUCAGCUGUGAAUCAAGUAAGAAAAAUAAGGAUGAAAAGCCAUGUUUAUUUUUUUAUUUGAUGUGAGGUACAGACCCAAGCAAGGUAAACUGUAAAUCAUAUGGUCUGUAAUAUCAUCCAGCCUGAGUAUGUGAUUCUUGAUUCCACAUCCCGGGAGGUUCAAUUGAAAGAUAAAUGUCAUUUGGGAACCACGUACUGGAAAAAAGCAAAUAAACGUCCUUGCGCCAACUUAAAUAUUAAUUAAAAUAUUUUUUUUGAUGAAUUAAAACCAUGCUGUUUCUCUUUAACUGCUACCAGACUACAACAUUAAUUCCAGUCACAGCAAUCUUUGUCUGAAUACAUGGUUUGAUCUCCAAGAUGGAUCCAAAAGUUCUCAUCCAAACAGUUUUUUUUUGUUUGUUUCUUAUUUUGUCAAAGCAGAUUGCAAAAUAAAAUUGGGUCUAUGGAGGAAAAGCAUGACCCCUGCCAAAACGCAAAAGGAGGUGUUGAUCUGAUGGCGAUGUUGAAAUACACAGCUCAUAAAAAAGAAACUUUUUUGAUUUGAUAUGGAAGAGGUUGUGGUAUAAAAUGUUAUUGUUCAGAUGUUAGAUGUCAUACAGUGAGACACUGCAGUCACCUCCCAGUUUGUCAAAGAGAAAACUGCUGUUUUGUUGUAUCUCCUUCCAGAAAGACACAGCCCAGUGUGUUAAAACUCCCAGCAUAAUGUCAUAAAUCUAUGGGUGGAUUUAAACAAGCAUUCUUGCAUAAACACUCAAAAGAUAUCUGAGGUCAUCAACUAUGUGUUCAUCAAGGGAAAAUUGAAGACAGUCAACUUUACUCUCAAUCCCACAGUCCUGGUACAGAACAUAUUGUAGACAAAUAAAAACAGAAGAUGUGGAUUGAGUAUGGAUACUGAAUGAAAUCCACCCAUUAAUGUCCAUUCUCAAACAUAUCUGUCUCUCUGGUCAACGUGUGAACUCAACGGAAAGGUGUCUCCAUUCUCACUUAUGCCAGUUUGGUUCUCCUAUCUGAAUUGCAUGAAUCACAGCCAAUUAUUGUGACGUAUUAUAGGACCCUGUCAGUAAGAAUGAGAUGCCAAAUCCUUUUUCUCUCCGUAGCUGAAAGGAGGAGAACCCAUUAUUUUGCUGUUCCUUUUCUCAAACUUUCCUCCAAACUCUGCGUCAGCACAUCUGCUUUUAUGUUGUUGUGUUUUAGAGCUUCCUUUGUGGUUUGGUUUUGAUGUAAAAUCCAUGUUGCUGUCUUUAGAGGAUCAUUAUGGUUGUAAAAUGUUAUGCUUUCUGGAAUUUCUUGUAUUGUAUUGUGAAAUCAACCGAUUUUUCCAGAUAAAAACCUCAAAAGUGUGGAGUCCAUUUGUAUUUAGCCCUCUGCGGAGACCCCUUAAAUAAAAUCCAGUGCAAAGAAAUCAGUUCAAGAGGUCAUUUAAUUAGCAAAUAAAGCUCACUGGGGCAUAAUUCAAUCUCAGUGCCAAAUACAGGUGUGCAAAAUGAUAAAGACAACCAGUAAACUGUUAACUGUAGCAACUGAGAACACUACUUAAUUAUAUGUAUACAAAAGAAUCAUCAGUUUUUUAGAUAAAUUAUAUUAUUUUCUUAUCAGUCAAAUCAAUUACAAUUCAACCUUAAGGAUAAAUAAUUUCACUUUAUCAGUGAGCUCUAAAUGCAGACUUUACCAAAAGGAUGAGAUAAACAUGUAAUAAGAAUAUAUUUAACAAGGGACAGACCAGGCAGGUCAGGGAUAAAGCUGUGGAGAGGUUUAAAGCAGGGUUAGGUUACAAAACAAUAUACAUGCUUUGGACAUUUCACAGGAGCAUUGUUUAUUCCUUCUUCCAAAAGUGGAAAGAGUGCAAACCUACAAACAUAUGGGUGUUUACCUAAACUGAGAGGUCGCUCAGGGAGAGUAUUAUUAUCAGAAACGCAGCCAAGAGAUCUAUGGUAACUCUGGAGGAGCUGUAGAGGUCCACAACUCAUGUAGUGGAAUUAUUUCAUAAGAGUUAUUAGUAAGAAUUUGGGAAUUUCCACCUUAGGCAGACCUCGCUGUGUGCAGUGAGAAGCAGUUCACUGCGGAAGACCCCUCCCCGGCUAACCGUGGCUGAGCUGGGCCGUUAAGUAAUGAUUUAUGAUUCUCUUUCUUUUCCAUGUCAAAUCUAUCAGUUGGUUAAAAGAUGUACCUGUCAGAGGAAGUUUGGACAGCUUAAGUUAACAUGUUGAAUUCUUUGAAUAUUUGUAUAAUCAAAAGAUGAUAGAAAUGUUGUAAUUCAGACACGUGUCAAAAAGACGUCACAGCGUACAGGUUAUUGAUGUGUAUAAAAAUUGUUCUGAAGAAUUGUUCUUUUUUUAUCUUUUUAACCGAAGAAUGAUAAAUGUUAACAGAAUUUCAGCAAAACUAUUCCUGUUAUCUGCCAGGAUUGCAACAGCAUAAAUCUGUGAGAAUUUCACUGACUGACGUUGUAUCAGAGUAUAGAUACAUCUGUGUAUAAUGAACUACAGACUUAUAUCUGGCAAGUGACUUCUUUACAUAAAUAAGAUUUGUGCACCAGA